Molecule: non-coding RNA, 46 nt
Organism: Bursaphelenchus xylophilus (pine wood nematode)
Lineage: Eukaryota; Metazoa; Nematoda; Chromadorea; Rhabditida; Aphelenchoididae
Source: Rfam
CAAACGGCCCUCUUUAGGGCCACAAUUAUUAAUAUUAUACUUGGUU